RNAcentral lists this ribosomal RNA (425 nucleotides) under uncultured bacterium. RNAcentral describes it as "partial 16S ribosomal RNA". It matches the Rfam family "Bacterial small subunit ribosomal RNA", at positions 354 to 796 of the family's 1533-position model. The record is from RNAcentral.
GUGGGGAAUCUUGCGCAAUGGGCGAAAGCCUGACGCAGCCAUGCCGCGUGGAUGAUGAAGGUCUUAGGAUUGUAAAAUCCUUUCACCGGUGAAGAUAAUGACUGUAGCCGGAGAAGAAGCCCCGGCUAACUUCGUGCCAGCAGCCGCGGUAAUACGAAGGGGGCUAGCGUUGCUCGGAUUUACUGGGCGGAAAGGGCGCGUAGGCGGACAUUUAAGUCAGGGGUGAAAUCCCGGGGCUCAACCUCGGAACUGCCUUUGAUACUGGGUGUCUUGAGUAUGAGAGAGGUGUGUGGAACUCCGAGUGUAGAGGUGAAAUUCGUAGAUAUUCGGAAGAACACCAGUGGCGAAGGCGACACACUGGCUCAUUACUGACGCUGAGGCGCGAAAGCGUGGGGAGCAAACAGGAUUAGAUACCCUGGUAGUCC